RNAcentral lists this ribosomal RNA (427 nucleotides) under uncultured bacterium. Its description in RNAcentral is "partial 16S ribosomal RNA". It matches the Rfam family "Bacterial small subunit ribosomal RNA", at positions 355 to 774 of the family's 1533-position model. The record is from RNAcentral.
UGGGGAAUAUUGCACAAUGGGCGCAAGCCUGAUGCAGCCAUGCCGCGUGUAUGAAGAAGGCCUUCGGGUUGUAAAGUACUUUCAGCGGGGAGGAAGGGAGUAAAGUUAAUACCUUUGCUCAUUGACGUUACCCGCAGAAGAAGCACCGGCUAACUCCGUGCCAGCAGCCGCGGUAAUACGGAGGGGGCAAGCGUUAAUCGGAAUUACUGGGCGUAAAGCGCACGCAGGCGGUUUGUUAAGUCAGAUGUGAAAUCCCCGGGCUCAACCUGGGAACUGCAUCUGAUACUGGCAAGCUUGAGUCUCGUAGAGGGGGGUAGAAUUCCAGGUGUAGCGGUGAAAUGCGUAGAGAUCUGGAGGAAUACCGGUGGCGAAGGCGGCCCCCUGGACAAAGACUGACGCUCAGGUGCGAAAGCGUGGGGAGCAAACA